CAUUACCGAGUUGAUUGGAGUUCCGGCUUC
This 30-nucleotide ribosomal RNA is filed under the name Botryosphaeria dothidea. RNAcentral's name for it is "partial 18S ribosomal RNA". The record is from RNAcentral. Lineage: Eukaryota; Fungi; Ascomycota; Dothideomycetes; Botryosphaeriales; Botryosphaeriaceae.